Manis javanica (Malayan pangolin) is the source of this 1734-nucleotide non-coding RNA. The record is from RefSeq and is a predicted model, not a curated record. Lineage: Eukaryota; Metazoa; Chordata; Mammalia; Pholidota; Manidae.
GUCCGUGUACUCGAAGUAGUAAGCCAGCAUCACCGUCCCUGCCAUGAUCACCAUCUGGAAAUAGAGCAUGCUGCUGGAAGAGCUCCUCUCCAACCAACUGACUCGCAGUGAUGGUGAGAAUGUCACAGCUGAUGCAUCUGUGGCUCCCAGGCUUCUUAAAUGAAAACUAAGAUUCACACCGAAAUGAGAAAAUACGACAUGUGUCCACACUAAUAUUCUGAUUUAAAGUCAGGAAUACCAGCUUGCUGACCAUGAAUCCUGGCCCAAACUUUCACAGGCACCUGCAGGGACUGCACUCUCCAUCCCUUUGAGGCAGGGCAUGGUUAUGCGAUGUACUCUGGCCAGCGCAGCAUGAAGGGAUCUGAGCAUGCCACUUCCAGGUGGCAGCUGUCAGGAGAUGGUGCUGGCUUUCCUGGACAUGAAACAAUAUCAUUGUGCACCCCCAAAUGAAGGCAGCAAGGAAUAGAGCUCACUAACGACCUGAAAUGGAUAUGCUCUAAGGGUAAGGAAGACAAAAAAGAAAAGGCAACAAACGAAAUCCAAACUUUAGUUGCUUAAAGCUACUGAGAUUUUUAGGGAUUUUUGUUACUGCAACAUAUUCUAGUCUACUUUGAAUGUUCACAUAUGAGAACUAUAUAAUAACAUUUCCCUAUUUAAUUUAAUCUCAUCUCUAGUUAUAUUUAAUCUAUGCAAAGAUCAAGUCUGUGAAUAAUGAUAUAGUAAAAUGCCCAUGCUGAUUCUGCCCAUAUCGUUAGCAGGAAUGCCUAAGGAGAGAAAUUUAGACCAUCAGUACUAAAAUCAUGACUUUUGGUGAGAGAAAAGGUAGAGCUGAGAAAGGGUGAAGAAGUUAAGAAGUGCAUUUGGUCUAGAAGAAAAGAGUUGGUGCCCAAGGCCCAACUCAGUCAUAUUGCUUACACUUUUGUCUAUGUUUUUCAGAAGAUAGGAAAAAGCAGGAAAACUGUAUCAAUAUAUAAUCAAAUAAAUCCAAUUAUAUUUGGAGCAGAGGACACAUUUUUAUUAGUACUGACUGCACAGCUUUAGCUGGUACUGGAGGAUCUACAAGGAUUCCUGCUCGCCUAGGUCUUCCCUCUCAGGUUGGUCUUGCAUCACUGCUUGCAGGACUCACUGAGUUAUGUUCAAUGUGCAUUCAAACUUAUUUCCCCAAUGUUUCAUGUAGAUGGUGUAUAAAAUACUUUCUUGAAGAUAUCAAUUGGUUCGAGCGAACUCAGACUGUGCACUAAAGGUAUUCUAAGAAGGAACAAAAAGUAAGAUAAAUUGAUCAAUAGCUUAUGUGUAUGUGUAUAUGGUGAGCACACAUUUAUCCACACAAAAACACAUAAUUAAAAUAUCCCCAUAAUAAAAAUAUUAAGCUUAUUUUAUGAUUAAAGAGAAUGAAAUGGAAGAAAAUCAAUGACAUUUCUAAGUUUCUAUAUCAAGUCCCCAGUCUUGGAAAAUGUGAGUUCAGAAAUCAUAAUAGCUCACCAAAUUUUGACACUGAUGAAAAGCAUUAUAUACCUUACUUUGUCAACAUUUGUUGUUUUAAGCAGCUAUUAUCUUAUAUCCUAUGUUUUAAUGAUACUUAUGAUGCUAAACAACUUCUGAGACUUUAUAAUACAUGUUCAUUGCUCCUUAUGAAACAGUAUAUCCAAUAUGAAGAGAGAGUUCUCCAGAGAAGAAAUUCACAUGGCCAACAGACACAUGAAAAGAUGCUCCACAUCAUUAAUCAUCAGGGAA